ACCUCAGUUGGGUGCAGAGAAGCAGUUGCUUAGCUUUUGUGUGGUCCUCACGAUCAGACCCCAAGGUGGUAUGGUUUCAAGGCCCUGCCAUUUACAAGGGCUAAUUAAGAUCCCACCUACAACCCUCCACUUAAUUCAUACAUGAAGCAGUCAGCAAAAGAUUUUGAUUUCUCUUUUGGCUGGAAGACCUUUUGGCUUCUGUAAAGCAAAGGAGGAUUAGGAAGGGAAAGCACAUAAAGCAGUUUCACAUCCAUCCCUGGUCAGCAAACACUUGGGAAGAAGGAUCAAUUCACACUGGGAAUUAACUGAAGAGUAGCAGGGCUACAUCAGGCUGAAUAAAUAUAAAUCCGAACAUGGGCAAGGUUUAGCUUGUUGCAAGUCACCCUGAUAGGAAGACUGAAUGAAGAAGGGAGAAAAAGAAGGAAAGAAACC
This is a long non-coding RNA of Pantherophis guttatus, 432 nucleotides long. RefSeq lists it as uncharacterized. Lineage: Eukaryota; Metazoa; Chordata; Lepidosauria; Squamata; Colubridae. The record is from RefSeq and is a predicted model, not a curated record.